This 253-nucleotide ribosomal RNA is filed under the name uncultured bacterium. RNAcentral describes it as "partial 16S ribosomal RNA". It matches the Rfam family "Bacterial small subunit ribosomal RNA", at positions 524 to 776 of the family's 1533-position model. The record is from RNAcentral.
GACGUAGGGCGCGAGCGUUGUCCGGAUUUAUUGGGCGUAAAGAGCUCGUAGGCGGCUUGUCGCGUCGUCCGUGAAAACCCACAGCUCAACUGUGGGCUUGCGGUCGAUACGGGCAGGCUAGAGUUCGGUAGGGGAGACUGGAAUUCCUGGUGUAGCGGUGAAAUGCGCAGAUAUCAGGAGGAACACCAGUGGCGAAGGCGGUGCUCCGGGCCGGAACUGACGCUGAGGAGCGAAAGCGUGGGGAGCAAACAGG